Molecule: ribosomal RNA, 245 nt
Filed under: uncultured bacterium
Lineage: Bacteria
Description: partial 16S ribosomal RNA
Rfam family: Bacterial small subunit ribosomal RNA
Source: RNAcentral
GACGGGAGGGGCAAGCGUUACCCGGAAUUACUGGGUGUAAAGGGCAUGUAGGUUGUAUGGUGUGUCUGGUUUGAAAUCCUCUGGCUCAACCAGAGAAGUGGACCUGAUACUACCAAACUAGAGUUUGGGAGAGGAAAGCGGAACUGCCGGUGUAGCGGUGAAAUGCGUAGAUAUCGGCAGGAACACCAAUGGCGAAGGCAGCUUUCUAUCCUGAAACUGACACUGAGAUGCGAAAGCGUGGGGAG